Molecule: ribosomal RNA, 157 nt
Filed under: Pholiota limonella
Lineage: Eukaryota; Fungi; Basidiomycota; Agaricomycetes; Agaricales; Strophariaceae
Also listed under: 1 other name
Description: 5.8S ribosomal RNA
Rfam family: 5.8S ribosomal RNA
About the family: 5.8S ribosomal RNA (5.8S rRNA) is a component of the large subunit of the eukaryotic ribosome. It is transcribed by RNA polymerase I as part of the 45S precursor that also contains 18S and 28S rRNA. Functionally, it is thought that 5.8S rRNA may be involved in ribosome translocation.
Source: RNAcentral
CAGCAACGGAUCUCUUGGCUCUCGCAUCGAUGAAGAACGCAGCGAAAUGCGAUAAGUAAUGUGAAUUGCAGAAUUCAGUGAAUCAUCGAAUCUUUGAACGCACCUUGCGCUCCUUGGUAUUCCGAGGAGCAUGCCUGUUUGAGUGUCAUUAAAUUCU